This 466-nucleotide ribosomal RNA is filed under the name uncultured Klebsiella sp. RNAcentral's name for it is "bacterial SSU rRNA". It matches the Rfam family "Bacterial small subunit ribosomal RNA", at positions 338 to 795 of the family's 1533-position model. The record is from RNAcentral. Lineage: Bacteria; Pseudomonadati; Pseudomonadota; Gammaproteobacteria; Enterobacterales; Enterobacteriaceae.
CCUACGGGUGGCUGCAGUGGGGAAUAUUGCACAAUGGGCGCAAGCCUGAUGCAGCCAUGCCGCGUGUGUGAAGAAGGCCUUCGGGUUGUAAAGCACUUUCAGCGGGGAGGAAGGCGGUGAGGUUAAUAACCUCAUCGAUUGACGUUACCCGCAGAAGAAGCACCGGCUAACUCCGUGCCAGCAGCCGCGAUAAUACGGAGGGUGCAAGCGUUAAUCGGAAUUACUGGGCGUAAAGCGCACGCAGGCGGGUCUGUCAAGUCGGAUGUGAAAUCCCCGGGCUCAACCUGGGAACUGCAUUCGAAACUUGCAGGGUAGGGUCCUGUAGGGGGGGGUAGAAUUCCAGGUGGAGCGGUGAAAUGCGUAGAGAUCUGGAGGAAUACCGGUGGCGAAGGCGGCCCCCUGGACAAAGACUGACGCUCAGGUGCGAAAGCGUGGGGAGCAAACAGGAUUAGAUACCCGAGUAGUC